This 691-nucleotide long non-coding RNA is filed under the name Chinchilla lanigera (long-tailed chinchilla). RNAcentral's name for it is "lncRNA (ENSCLAG00000024028.1)". The record is from RNAcentral. Lineage: Eukaryota; Metazoa; Chordata; Mammalia; Rodentia; Chinchillidae.
CACUCUAAGUAGAGAUUGAUAGAUGAUUCUGGUAAGAGCUCAUAAGACCAGAAUAUUGAUAGAAAUGUUGACAAUAAAAGCCAAUAUCAGGAGUAUCCCAUUAGGAAGAUGACAAAAAGACAUUCAUGUUAUAUUUUGGCAAAAUAUUUGAUUAUCUUUUGCUCACGUCUUUGCAGAAAGCUGAGAUUAAGGGCUUUCAUCACUCUGAUGGAGAAAAUUCCAGUCUAACCUAUUGUUCAUGCUGUGGCUUCGCUACUUCUGACGUUUUGUCAGCUGAUGGACUUGGAACUGCUGAGGAGAUUAAUAAAGCCCUGGAAAACUUCCAGCACUUCUCCAAAGUGAAAGUGAUCGUGAAAGGUAAACAUUUGGAAUUGAUUCACGAUAUCAAGAGAGUCCCAACAGUGCAACUAAAGACAUUCAAGGAAAAGGACUUGCAGAACUGCUUCAGAAAGUAUCAAGAACAAUGGGAAAAGUGUCUUUCAAACAAGGGCAUCUUCAUAUGAAAGACAUUUAAACAAGCUUCAAAGUGGUUUGCCCAAGAGAGAAGGUUUCCUUGCAAUUAAGAAGAACACUUACCAUUCUGCCAUCUGUGCCGUCUGAUGGGUUUUUACGCAUACUGCUUUCAGAUAUGCAUCUUCCUCUUCUACUUUUUGUGUAUCGACUACAGAUUUUUAUCACCCUUUGUGAGUAU